GGAUGCGUCCGGUGCACACCGGACUCAUGCGCAGAGAGUUUGUCAAACUCGCGACCUCACCGGACGCUGGGCAUCGGACGGUCCGGUGCUCACCGGACUCGUGCGCAGAGAGGGUUACAAAAACCCCUCACACCGGACGCUAACCAUCGGACGCUACCAGAGUGCGUCCGGUGCUUAACCCUAGCAGAGUCAAGCUCUGACAGCACACCGGACGCUCGGGCCAGCGUCCGGUGCCUCAGCACUGAGCGUCCGGUGAGUGUUUCCAACUGAGAAACACUUCCG
This 282-nucleotide long non-coding RNA is filed under the name Sorghum bicolor (sorghum). RNAcentral's name for it is "long non-coding RNA (SBIC_LNC004226)". The record is from RNAcentral. Lineage: Eukaryota; Viridiplantae; Streptophyta; Magnoliopsida; Poales; Poaceae.